Molecule: ribosomal RNA, 495 nt
Filed under: uncultured bacterium
Lineage: Bacteria
Description: partial 16S ribosomal RNA
Rfam family: Bacterial small subunit ribosomal RNA
Source: RNAcentral
GAUGAACGCUGGCGGCGUGCUUAACACAUGCAAGUCGAGCGAAGCACUUAGGAAAGAUUCUUCGGAUGAUUUCCUAUUUGACUGAGCGGCGGACGGGUGAGUAACGCGUGGGUAACCUGCCUCAUACAGGGGGAUAACAGUUAGAAAUGACUGCUAAUACCGCAUAAGACCACAGCACCGCAUGGUGCAGGGGUAAAAACUCCGGUGGUAUGAGAUGGACCCGCGUCUGAUUAGGUAGUUGGUGGGGUAACGGCCUACCAAGGCGACGAUCAGUAGCCGACCUGAGAGGGUGACCGGCCACAUUGGGACUGAGACACGGCCCAAACUCCUACGGGAGGCAGCAGUGGGGAAUAUUGCACAAUGGGGGAAACCCUGAUGCAGCGACGCCGCGUGAGCGAAGAAGUAUUUCGGUAUGUAAAGCUCUAUCAGCAGGGAAGAAAUUGACGGUACCUGACUAAGAAGCCCCGGCUAACUACGUGCCAGCAGCCGCAGUAA